Molecule: non-coding RNA, 149 nt
Organism: Arachis ipaensis
Lineage: Eukaryota; Viridiplantae; Streptophyta; Magnoliopsida; Fabales; Fabaceae
Source: RefSeq, a predicted model, not a curated record
AAUUAUAUAUUGAAUUUUAAUAAUUUUAUUUAAUAUUUAAUUAAAUCGGUUGAACCCCGGUUGAACCACUGAACCAGUGAACCAGUUGCCUCACCGGUUCAUUGAUCGGUUCGAUUUUUGCAACCUUGUCUCGCUAGAGAAGAGAAAAA